RNAcentral lists this small nuclear RNA (278 nucleotides) under Spermophilus dauricus (Daurian ground squirrel). Its description in RNAcentral is "7SK RNA (ENSSDAG00000011579.1)". It matches the Rfam family "7SK RNA". From Rfam's summary of the family: 7SK was discovered as an abundant small nuclear RNA in the mid-70s but a possible function has only recently been suggested. Lineage: Eukaryota; Metazoa; Chordata; Mammalia; Rodentia; Sciuridae. The record is from Rfam by way of RNAcentral.
GGAUGUGAGGGUCAAUUGGCUGCAACAUCUGUCACCCAGGGUUGAUUUGGCUCUCUCGGUGGGUGUCCCCUUCCUCCCUCACAGCUCCAUGUGAGUCCCUCCUGAAGCCGCACAUUCAGUGGAAGAGGACAACCUUCCUUGAUAGAGGAAGAAAUGUUCUUAAGGGUAUGGGAGUAGCUGCUGGAACCCCCCCCCCCCACGCAACCAACAAAAAAAAGGGAACGCCCCCAAUAAACUUGUGAAGCCUCCAAAUGCCUCAUGCCUGCUUUUCUCUAUUU